This 378-nucleotide ribosomal RNA is filed under the name Theileria sp. B15a. RNAcentral describes it as "SSU rRNA". It matches the Rfam family "Eukaryotic small subunit ribosomal RNA", at positions 475 to 900 of the family's 1831-position model. Lineage: Eukaryota; Apicomplexa; Aconoidasida; Piroplasmida; Theileriidae. The record is from RNAcentral.
AAAUAACAAUACGGGGCUCAACGCCUUGUAAUUGGAAUGAUGGGAACCUAAACCCCUUCCAGAGUAUCAAUUGGAGGGCAAGUCUGGUGCCAGCAGCCGCGGUAAUUCCAGCUCCAAUAGCGUAUAUUAAAAUUGUUGCAGUUAAAAAGCUCGUAGUUGAAUUUCUGCCGCCCCGCCGCGGCCCCCGGGCCCGACGUCGCGGCUUAUUUCGGCGACCUCGCGCCGCCGAAUGUUUACUUUGAGAAAAUUAGAGUGCUCAAAGCAGGCCCUUGCCUUGAAUACUUUAGCAUGGAAUAAUAAAGUAGGACUUUGGUUCUAUUUUGUUGGUUUAGCGCCAAAGUAAUGGUUAAUAGGAACAGUUGGGGGCAUUCGUAUUUA